CCCCUGUCCCGGCUAUGGAGGUGCUCAAGGCCAGCUUCCCUCUCCGGGCUGUCAGGCAGGUCACCUCGCGGAGGAGUCCAGUGCCCUGUCGCUCCCUGGCCCACAAAGGGAGCAAUUUCGGGGACACAGCGGCUUCUGCUGGGAAGCUCUGGGCCAGAGCUCCUUCAGCGCUUCUGCUGACACAGAGCAGGUGGAAUCCAAGCACCAGCGUGCCCUAUGUGCUGGUUUAUAUUGUGAACAGAAGACCUGGACAGCAGUGGAAGUUCCACUGGUGCUGAAACAAUGUGCACGCACAGCAAGAGCAGAUGCAGCACGGAUCUCCUCGGUGCUGGUCACUGAGCUGAGCACAGCAGGAAAAACCUCUGACAUAAUCCUAAACUGAUUAAAACAUAUUUACUCUCUACAAUGCUGAUGUGGUAAAAGAUGAAGAAUAUUGGUUCAAAUUAUAUGGCUGGAGACCUAGGAAAUUCACAUGGGAUUUUGACAGGAAGGAUAUUGUCAGUAAAAUAGAUGAUGACAAAAAAUGCCUGACCCUCUAUCCUAUAUAAUUAUUUUUUAUUUUUUUUUAAUGAGUGGCCAAACUUGGAUUGAAACAAAUUGUGGGUGAGGAAAUCAUCCAGUAGCAGCAAAGAGGGACAUGGUUCAGUCCCAGUUCUGUUGAGACACAACCCUAACACUUUGAGAACUUAAUGUUCUGAUGCAAAGGGUUAAGCACAUUUCCUGUGAGCCUUUGGUAGGAGGACACAGGGGUAGCUACCUAUGUGUGUGUGGGAAUUUUUUCCUUCUGUGGAUGGCUGCCCUACAGCCAGCUCUGAGCCCACCUGCCGAGGCAUGUUUGGGGAGGAGCUCAAGCACCAACCAUCGGACUCACAGCAUUCUCAGCCCCAUCUGCAGGAGCCCACACUGUCUGACAUGCUCUUCCUAGCACCUGGAACUAUCCCUCACUUGCUUUGCUUCUCAAGUAGACCAUUAAGACAGUUUAGACAUGUCCCAAACAAUGCAAUUCCCUGGGGACUGACUUUACAAAAGAAAAAAGUGGUACAAGAAACAUGCCCAGUGUAUAAUGGCCAGCUCCAGAAGGCCUUUGUUUGACCUUGGACCUCAGAGUAUUUAGAUAAAGAGGGAAAUUCAAUGCUGAAGAAGCUGUCCUGCAGAUCCAUUCAUUGGGAAGGAAGUGGAACAGAAAGGUCUUCACCAUUAACAGAGCCUGCAAAGAGAGGAGCACAGUAUCUCUUGGAUCCUAUUCCUGUCUGAGAUGCAAACCACUUUAAAUGUGACAGUGUGAAAAAGGUGGGGAUUUGGGAAAAAUCUCCUCAUUCUCAUCCCAGAACAGACAGCAGAACUGGAGCGGACGAGGAACCACAUUUCUGUGGGUGGAGCACAGUCAUGUUGCCUUUACUCUGGGGAGUCUCCAGGGCAGUGUGAACCAGCCUAAGGCACUUCUGAGCACACUGCUUGGAGCAGGGCAGGGAUGCACAGCUCUGUAAGGGGGCACAGAAGAUGGUGAGGUGCUGGGGUCUAGCCCCUUGAUCAGGAGUGGUCAUCUUGCAUCCUGUGGGCAAUCCCUUCCACUUUUCAGCCUUCAGCCUGUUCCUGAUCCCAGUGGCAUGCCUGCCAGGUGGGCCCCAGAUUUCAAAUAGCCAUCUGUUCUGUGUCUCGCUUUGCACACCGCCAAAAUGAAAAUUGUGGUUCAACUGGAUAUCUACUGCAAAUUACCUGGUACAGAUAAGAUAUUUAUUGUUAGUGUUACUGCCGUGGCAAAUGCAGCAUCUAAAUCGAAACGUAUUUAUUCCAGAUUUAUUGUACUAAGGAUGUAGAAGGGUUCACAGGAAGCAAGUUUGGUAGAAAUAACAGAGGACUUGAUGUUAGUGUUAUUUAAUGUAUUACUGUAUUUCGCCUUACAAAACUGUCCAAGAAAAUCCCAUUCUCUGUCAAAGCACUGCAACUAAAAUUUCCAGUCUAAAUAUAGUUGGGGGUUGCCCAGUUGAAAUGCUGCUGGCCAACAUUUUAAGGCCUGAGCCAUCAAGGUCUUAUGAAUUGAGGUUGCUUAUAUAGAUUGGUUUUCUUUCAAGGCCAUUGCAGAAGUAUCUCCCCAAUUCAGUAAUUUUACAUGUGAGCAAGAAUCAAUUUUUAAUCUCUACCCCAGGUAUGAAAUUUGCUGAUCAGAAAUUGAUCUAUUUACAGGUCACUGAAUUUGAUCAACAGCUGGUCUUUAAGAGAGGGAUCAAAACAUGCACAAUACAGUAAUCAAGUCCAGAUGUUGUCUAGAAGACAAGCUCCAGUUCUAGCAGGAAUUAAUUAAGCAAAGUCUUACAAGCUGUGUCAUAAGGAAACCAGAUGAAAACAACAGCCCCUGGGUUUUUUUUUUAUUUAAAAAAUGGAACAGACAUUUUGAAACAACUGACCACAUUUUGGCUACGAAUAGUUCAGUGAAAUAAAACUUGCUUUUGGGUGCUCCAGUUAAUGAUUUACUGGUACAACCUGCUGGCAGUAAGCCCAGUUUAGACAGUGUUGGAAAAAUGCCAAACAUUAACACUGCAUUCACAGUAGAUUCUCUGAAACAAACUGUCACUGGGUGUAGAGAAGGCUGAGCCAGGAAAUGCAUUGUUUUGGGAUCCACAGGAUCCCAGCUCUCACCCCAGAGCAGAGUAAAUUUUUUUCUAGAGUAGUUGUCCUUAUAUGUUAUUGUCCUCAGGGCAUUUACUCUGCCACUGCACUUCUUUCAACAGGUCAAGUAUAUUAAUAAAAGUAAAAUUAAAAGUCUAGGUGGGAAAAAUGUUAUGCAAAGGUUCUGCCAGGGAAAAAAGAACUGCUUGGGAGCCUUACCCUUUGCUUUUAGAUGUGCCAGCCUGGGAAAUCCAUAAUUCCAUGGGAAAUAUGGUCAGUGUAGGUGGCCACAGUCAUUUGAUGUAAAUGUAUCACAGCAGGCAUAGCCCAUAAAUGGGAUCUCCUGUAGCCCAGACAUGAGAUAGAGCUCAGAUUCGUGAAUUGUGUUGAAUAUAUUUGUCUUUUAAUGUUGCUGUUUGGGAAGAGUGAAAGAUUAUCUAGUACAUCUGCAUUUAAUCUAUUUACCGUGUAUGUUUUUGUUGGUGUUCCUCAAGAAUACUGCACCUUUUCUUAAACAGAAACUGAUCAUAUUUCUAAUUUUCUGAUUGCAAAUUGCAUGCAUGGGUUAUAAGGAAGAAUGAAACCACAGACAAAGAAGAGCAGAAUCUUGACUUCAGCCAAACUUUAUACUCCUUGUGGAGAAUUGUUACAUUUUUGACAGAAAGUAAUAUGAAGUGAAUUUGUCAUCAGAUAUAAAGCAUGCAGAUAGGAAAGUCAGCAGGGGAGGAUUUCUUUUCCUUCAUAUCAACUGAGGAAGAGUUUCAACUUACUAAAUGCAUUUUAAGGUGUGAUGGGAAAAUCUGAGUGAAAAAACUUGUAGGAGUUUAUCAAAAAACAAACAGUCCAAUGUUAACUUUCACUCUGUGUAGAAAGCAUACAUUUCCCUUUCCCAGUAUUUGUAUAAUUAUGAGUGACUCAUUCAAGCCCUGAUCUUACAGACCAAGAUUAAAUCCCAAAAGAGGGCUUAAUCCAUGUCAAUAAUUAAAUCCACAUUUCUGUCUCAUGGCUGAAUGAGACCCACUUGCAGGGAAGCUUCAACCCCACCACCAAACCAACAAAUCGUUCUUCAGCCUGAGCCACCAAGUUACAGAGCAGUUUCAAAGCAACUUGGUUCAGCUUCCCUGAUGCUUCUGGGACUGAACAAAUAAAACCACAGAUGCAAACUCUGAUAUCUUUGAAUGCUUCAAAGCAGGGAAGGGAAAGACUACAGAAUAAAUGGAUCUGAUAAUUUUC
This is a long non-coding RNA of Cyanistes caeruleus (blue tit), 3840 nucleotides long. RefSeq lists it as uncharacterized. Lineage: Eukaryota; Metazoa; Chordata; Aves; Passeriformes; Paridae. The record is from RefSeq and is a predicted model, not a curated record.